Molecule: ribosomal RNA, 433 nt
Filed under: uncultured bacterium
Lineage: Bacteria
Description: partial 16S ribosomal RNA
Rfam family: Bacterial small subunit ribosomal RNA
Source: RNAcentral
AACGAACGCUGGCGGCAUGCCUAACACAUGCAAGUCGAACGAGAACUUCGGGCAUCUUGGCGCUCGGCUGCGUAACGCGUGGGAACCUGCCCUUAGGUUCGGAAUAACUCCCUGAAAGGGGUGCUCAUCCCGGAUAGUUUCUUCGUACCAAAGAUCUAUCGCCUUUGGAUGGGCGCGCGUGGGGUUAGCUUGUUGGUAGGGUAAAAGCCUAUCAAGGCGACGAUCCAUAGCUGGUCUGAGAGGAUGAUCAGCCACACUGGGACUGAGACGCGGCCCAGACUACUACGGGAGGGAGCAGUGGGGAAUAUUGGACAAUGGGCGAAAGCCUGAUCCAGCAAUGCCGGGUGAGUGAUGAAGGCCUUAGGGUUGGAAAGCUCUUUUACCCGGGAUGAUAAUGACAGUACCGGGAGAAUAAGCACCGGCUAACUCCGUG